RNAcentral lists this ribosomal RNA (2338 nucleotides) under Helicobacter pylori Hp P-26. RNAcentral's name for it is "bacterial SSU rRNA". The stretch from base 1 to 1495 matches the Rfam family "Bacterial small subunit ribosomal RNA". Lineage: Bacteria; Pseudomonadati; Campylobacterota; Epsilonproteobacteria; Campylobacterales; Helicobacteraceae. The record is from RNAcentral.
GAGUUUGAUCCUGGCUCAGAGUGAACGCUGGCGGCGUGCCUAAUACAUGCAAGUCGAACGAUGAAGCUUCUAGCUUGCUAGAAGUGGAUUAGUGGCGCACGGGUGAGUAACGCAUAGGUCAUGUGCCUCUUAGUUUGGGAUAGCCAUUGGAAACGAUGAUUAAUACCAGAUACUCCCUACGGGGGAAAGAUUUAUCGCUAAGAGAUCAGCCUAUGUCCUAUCAGCUUGUUGGUAAGGUAAUGGCUUACCAAGGCUAUGACGGGUAUCCGGCCUGAGAGGGUGAACGGACACACUGGAACUGAGACACGGUCCAGACUCCUACGGGAGGCAGCAGUAGGGAAUAUUGCUCAAUGGGGGAAACCCUGAAGCAGCAACGCCGCGUGGAGGAUGAAGGUUUUAGGAUUGUAAACUCCUUUUGUUAGAGAAGAUAAUGACGGUAUCUAACGAAUAAGCACCGGCUAACUCCGUGCCAGCAGCCGCGGUAAUACGGAGGGUGCAAGCGUUACUCGGAAUCACUGGGCGUAAAGAGCGCGUAGGCGGGAUAGUCAGUCAGGUGUGAAAUCCUAUGGCUUAACCAUAGAACUGCAUUUGAAACUACUAUUCUAGAGUGUGGGAGAGGUAGGUGGAAUUCUUGGUGUAGGGGUAAAAUCCGUAGAGAUCAAGAGGAAUACUCAUUGCGAAGGCGACCUGCUGGAACAUUACUGACGCUGAUUGCGCGAAAGCGUGGGGAGCAAACAGGAUUAGAUACCCUGGUAGUCCACGCCCUAAACGAUGGAUGCUAGUUGUUGGAGGGCUUAGUCUCUCCAGUAAUGCAGCUAACGCAUUAAGCAUCCCGCCUGGGGAGUACGGUCGCAAGAUUAAAACUCAAAGGAAUAGACGGGGACCCGCACAAGCGGUGGAGCAUGUGGUUUAAUUCGAAGAUACACGAAGAACCUUACCUAGGCUUGACAUUGAGAGAAUCCGCUAGAAAUAGUGGAGUGUCUGGCUUGCUAGACCUUGAAAACAGGUGCUGCACGGCUGUCGUCAGCUCGUGUCGUGAGAUGUUGGGUUAAGUCCCGCAACGAGCGCAACCCCCUUUCUUAGUUGCUAACAGGUCAUGCUGAGAACUCUAAGGAUACUGCCUCCGUAAGGAGGAGGAAGGUGGGGACGACGUCAAGUCAUCAUGGCCCUUACGCCUAGGGCUACACACGUGCUACAAUGGGGUGCACAAAGAGAAGCAAUACUGCGAAGUGGAGCCAAUCUUCAAAACGCCUCUCAGUUCGGAUUGUAGGCUGCAACUCGCCUGCAUGAAGCUGGAAUCGCUAGUAAUCGCAAAUCAGCCAUGUUGCGGUGAAUACGUUCCCGGGUCUUGUACUCACCGCCCGUCACACCAUGGGAGUUGUGUUUGCCUUAAGUCAGGAUGCUAAACCAGCUACUGCCCACGGCACACACAGCGACUGGGGUGAAGUCGUAACAAGGUAACCGUAGGUGAACCUGCGGUUGGAUCACCUCCUUUCUAGAGAAAAGCUUUUAACAUUCACUUGUUAAAAGCCAAAGAGUAUUACCUGACAAAAGGACUUCUUGUUGCUUAGUUUUGAAAGAUUGAACUUAUUCUUUCUUUUUUAAAUCUUGUUUUUAUUUGAUUUUUGCUUAAACUUUUUAAUUCUUGUUUGUUUUUAAUAUUUCUUGCUUAUUUGUAUUGGAUUUCUUAAAUCUUACUUCUUGUUUUUUUCCAUUCUUAUUUUUUACUUAUUGCGUUUUAAUUCUUAUGUUUAACUUUUUGUUUUUUACGCUUUAAUAUUAAAGUUUUAGUUUUGGUGUUUUGUUUCUUGUUUCUUUGUGUUCUUAAGGUUUUUUACUGCUUAUAAUCUUAGUUUGUUGUUUCACCUUGUCUUUUGCUUGCUUGAUUUUGGUUUCUUACUGCUUAUGGUUUUUACUUCUUGCUUUUUAUUUAGUUUGAUUUUGAUUUGAUUGUGUUUCGUGUUUGUGUUUUAUUUUUCUUAAAUCUCAUUUCUUUUGUUUGAGUGUUGGAUUUAGUGUUGGAUUUAGUGUUGGACUUUCUUAAUUCUUAUAUUUGGACUUUUUGCUUCUUGUUUCUUUGUGUUCUUAAGGUUUUUACUGCUUGUGGUUUGUGGUUGUUGUAUUGGAGUUUUACUUGUUACUUCUUGGGUUUUAAUUUCUUAUUCCUUACUUAUUGCGUUUUAAUUCUUAUGUUUUAAUGUUUGGUUUCAUGUUUUUAGUUUUUCUUGCUUCUUAAUGUUUAGUGGGUUUGUUAUUUUUAAGGGGGUUUAGUGGGGUUUGGUCGUUGGGUUUUAUUUUCUUAAGCCUUAUCUUUAUCUCAUGAUUGCAAUUCUUGCUU